Small nucleolar RNA from Mastomys coucha (southern multimammate mouse), 132 nucleotides. RefSeq annotates it as small nucleolar RNA SNORA17. The transcript has a single exon. The record is from RefSeq and is a predicted model, not a curated record. Lineage: Eukaryota; Metazoa; Chordata; Mammalia; Rodentia; Muridae.
CCUGUCCCCAGAGUAAUGCAUUGUAGAUGUGGCUGCUGUGUCACAUGUACAUCAGUAGGUGGCAGAGAGAAGAUUAUGUCUACACUCAGUGUUCUAACCUAUGAACCUCUGAAUGAUUAGUAGUCUAACAGU